Molecule: non-coding RNA, 98 nt
Organism: Triticum aestivum (bread wheat)
Lineage: Eukaryota; Viridiplantae; Streptophyta; Magnoliopsida; Poales; Poaceae
Source: Rfam
GUAUUGCUCCCUCCGUCCGAAAAAGCUUGUCCCUCAAAUGGAUGUAUCUAGAUACAUCCAUUUGAAGGACAAGCUUUUUCGGACGGAGGGAGUACUUA